AUGGCUCACAACGAACGCUGGCGGCGCGUCUAAGCAUGCAAGUCGAACGGCAAGAGGUAGCAAUACCUCCCAGAGUGGCGGACUGGUGAGUAACACGUGGGUGACAUACCCUUCAGAUGGGGAUAGCUAUUAGAAAUAGUAGAUAAUACCGAAUACGAGCACGAGGGGUUAGAGAUCUGUGAGGAAAGGAGCUAAGGCUCCGCUGAAGGAAUGGCCUGCGGCCCAUUAGCUAGUUGGUGAGGUAAGAGCCCACCAAGGCGAUGAUGGGUAUCCGGCCUUAGAGGGUGAACGGACACAUUGGGACUGAGAUACGGCCCAGACUCCUACGGGAGGCAGCAGCUAAGAAUAUUCCGCAAUGGACGAAAGUCUGACGGAGCGACACCGCGUGGAUGAAGAAGGCCGGAAGGUUGUAAAAAUCCUUUUGAAACUGAAGAAUAAGCGUUGUAGGGAAUGACAGCGUGGUGACAGUAGGUUUUGAAUAAGCAACGGCUAAUUACGUGCCAGCCGCCGC
This 511-nucleotide ribosomal RNA is filed under the name uncultured bacterium. Its description in RNAcentral is "bacterial SSU rRNA". It matches the Rfam family "Bacterial small subunit ribosomal RNA", at positions 19 to 518 of the family's 1533-position model. The record is from RNAcentral.